This 386-nucleotide ribosomal RNA is filed under the name uncultured eukaryote. RNAcentral describes it as "partial 18S ribosomal RNA". It matches the Rfam family "Eukaryotic small subunit ribosomal RNA", at positions 592 to 976 of the family's 1831-position model. The record is from RNAcentral.
CAAUAGCGUAUACUAAUGUUGUUGCAGUUAAAAGGCUCGUAGUCGAACCUAUGAUCUUGUGUGCUUGACCCGCUGCCAAGCGCAGCGCGUGUUUUUGUACACUGGUCAUCCUUCUGGACUCUGCCCCUGUACUUCACUGUGUGGGACGUAUGAUCCAGAUCAUUUACUGUGAGUAAAUCAGAGUGUUUCAGACAGGCUUCACGCCUGAAUGUUCUAGCAUGGAAUAAUAAGAUAGGGCUUUGGUUCUAUUUUGUUGGCUUCUAGGACUAAAGUAAUGAUUGAUAGGGAUAGUUGGGGGUGCUAGUAUUUAACGGUCAGCGGUGAAAUGCGUGGACCCGUUAAAGACUAACUUACGCGAAAGCAUUCACCAAGGAUAUUUUCUUUGA